RNAcentral lists this ribosomal RNA (253 nucleotides) under uncultured bacterium. Its description in RNAcentral is "partial 16S ribosomal RNA". It matches the Rfam family "Bacterial small subunit ribosomal RNA", at positions 524 to 776 of the family's 1533-position model. The record is from RNAcentral.
UACGAAUGGGGCGAGCGUUGUUCGGAAUUACUGGGCGUAAAGGGCGCGUAGGCGGCCGAUCAAGUCCGAUGUGAAAGUCCUGGGCUUAACCUGGGGACUGCAUUUGAUACUGAUUGGCUUGAAUGCAGGAGAGGAUAGCGGAAUUCCCAGUGUAGAGGUGAAAUUCGUAGAUAUUGGGAAGAACACCGGUGGCGAAGGCGGCUAUCUGGACUGUGAUUGACGCUGAGGCGCGAAAGCGUGGGGAGCAAACAGG